RNAcentral lists this long non-coding RNA (358 nucleotides) under Selaginella moellendorffii. Its description in RNAcentral is "long non-coding RNA (SMOE_LNC001215)". Lineage: Eukaryota; Viridiplantae; Streptophyta; Lycopodiopsida; Selaginellales; Selaginellaceae. The record is from RNAcentral.
CAAGGCACAAGCAGUCAGGACUGAGGCUUGCCAUGGAUCGACAGCAGAAAGGCAAGGCUUCCCUGUAGUUGCUCGCGUUUGGAACCAUCAGAGGCAAGCAAAACACAGCCACGGGAAUAAUCCUCUCGUUGGAACACGGUGCCCGAUCGCUCACGGCCGCCACGGUGCGCUGUGAAGUUCCUUCCAAGCACGUAAACACGAGGAUUAGAAACAGCGGCAGGACGAAGAUCCAACCCGAAGAUCUGAGCUCCAUCCCCGAAGAAGAACUAAAGUUCCAUAAGUUUUCCCUGGAAGCUGGGAUCCAUAAGUUUCCCCUGGAAGCUGGGAAACUUUUAAAGGAAUCAAUCCCGUCGCAAGC